UCAGGUGUGUGGCCGGGGGGGCGGGACGGCGUAGGGGGGGAGGGUGGUGCGGAUUUAGUGGGGGGAAAGGGCGGGUAGGCGUGCGGCGAAGUCAGAGGUGAAAAGCCAGGGUGCAACCCUGGAACUGCCUCUGAAACGGGUAGACGGGAGUGGUCUAGAGGGCAGUGGAAUUCCCGGUGUAGCAGUGAAAGGCGUAGAGAUCGGGAGGAACACCAGGGGCGAAGGCGACUGCCUGGGGAGUAACUGAUGCUGAGGCGCGAAAGCUGGGGGAGCAAACGGGAUUAGAUUACCCCAGUAGUC
This 300-nucleotide ribosomal RNA is filed under the name uncultured Desulfovibrio sp. RNAcentral's name for it is "partial 16S ribosomal RNA". The stretch from base 51 to 300 matches the Rfam family "Bacterial small subunit ribosomal RNA", at positions 547 to 795 of the family's 1533-position model. Lineage: Bacteria; Pseudomonadati; Thermodesulfobacteriota; Desulfovibrionia; Desulfovibrionales; Desulfovibrionaceae. The record is from RNAcentral.